This 103-nucleotide microRNA precursor is filed under the name Marmota monax (woodchuck). Lineage: Eukaryota; Metazoa; Chordata; Mammalia; Rodentia; Sciuridae. The record is from RNAcentral.
AAAGCAAUUGCUGAAUCAUAUGGUAAGCAUGUAUUUAGUUUUAUAAGAAACUGCCAAACUGUCUUCCAAAAUGGCUGUAUCAUUUUACAUUUCCAUCAACAAU